This 602-nucleotide ribosomal RNA is filed under the name uncultured bacterium. Its description in RNAcentral is "bacterial SSU rRNA". It matches the Rfam family "Bacterial small subunit ribosomal RNA", at positions 202 to 803 of the family's 1533-position model. The record is from RNAcentral.
UAAAGGAGAGAUCCGGCAUAGGAUGGACAUGCGUCGCAUUAGGUAGACGGCGGGGUAACGCCCCACCGUGCCGACGAUGCGUAGGGGUUCUGAGAGGAAGGUCCCCCACACUGGUACUGAGACACGGACCAGACUCCUACGGGAGGCAGCAGUGAGGAAUAUUGGUCAAUGGCCGAGAGGCUGAACCAGCCAAGUCGCGUGAGGGAAGAAUGUCCUAAGGAUUGUAAACCUCUUUUGUCGGGGAGCAAAAAGGCUCUGCGGAGUCGUAUUGAGAGUACCCGAAGAAAAAGCAUCGGCUAACUCCGUGCCAGCAGCCGCGGUAAUACGGAGGAUGCGAGCGUUAUCCGGAUUUAUUGGGUUUAAAGGGUGCGCAGGCGGCGUGUCAAGCAAGCGGUAAAAUAGCGGGGCUCAACCCCGUCGAGCCGUUUGAACUGGCGCGCUUGAGUUCAGGCGAGGUAGGCGGAAUUCGUGGUGUAGCGGUGAAAUGCAUAGAUAUCACGAAGAACUCCGAUUGCGAAGGCAGCUUACCAGUCUGCGACUGACGCUCAGGCACGAAAGUGUGGGUAUCGAACAGGAUUAGAUACCCUGGUAGUCCACACAGU